Molecule: ribosomal RNA, 1343 nt
Filed under: uncultured bacterium
Lineage: Bacteria
Description: 16S ribosomal RNA
Rfam family: Bacterial small subunit ribosomal RNA
Source: RNAcentral
GACGAACGCUGGCGGCGUGCUUAACACAUGCAAGUCGAACGGAAAGGCCCUGCUUUUGUGGGGUGCUCGAGUGGCGAACGGGUGAGUAACACGUGAGUAACCUGCCCUUGACUUUGGGAUAACUUCAGGAAACUGGGGCUAAUACCGGAUAGGAGCUCCUGCUGCAUGGUGGGGGUUGGAAAGUUUCGGCGGUUGGGGAUGGACUCGCGGCUUAUCAGCUUGUUGGUGGGGUAGUGGCUUACCAAGGCUUUGACGGGUAGCCGGCCUGAGAGGGUGACCGGCCACAUUGGGACUGAGAUACGGCCCAGACCCCUACGGGAGGCAGCAGUGGGGAAUAUUGCACAAUGGGCGGAAGCCUGAUGCAGCAACGCCGCGUGCGGGAUGACGGCCUUCGGGUUGUAAACCGCUUUCGCCUGUGACGAAGCGUGAGUGACGGUAAUGGGUAAAGAAGCACCGGCUAACUACGUGCCAGCAGCCGCGGUGAUACGUAGGGUGCGAGCGUUGUCCGGAUUUAUUGGGCGUAAAGGGCUCGUAGGUGGUUGAUCGCGUCGGAAGUGGAAUCUUGGGGCUUAACCCUGAGCGUGCUUUCGAUACGGGUUGACUUGAGGAAGGUAGGGGAGAAUGGAAUUCCUGGUGGAGCGGUGGAAUGCGCAGAUAUCAGGAGGAACACCAGUGGCGAAGGCGGUUCUCUGGGCCUUUCCUGACGCUGAGGAGCGAAAGCGUGGGGAGCGAACAGGCUUAGAUACCCUGGUAGUCCACGCUGUAAACGGUGGGUACUAGGUGUGGGGUCCAUUCCACGGGUUCCGUGCCGUAGCUAACGCUUUAAGUACCCCGCCUGGGGAGUACGGCCGCAAGGCUAAAACUCAAAGGAAUUGACGGGGCCCCGCACAAGCGGCGGAGCAUGCGGAUUAAUUCGAUGCAACGCGUAGAACCUUACCUGGGUUUGACAUGGAUCGGGAGCGCUCAGAGAUGGGUGUGCCUCUUUUGGGGUCGGUUCACAGGUGGUGCAUGGCUGUCGUCAGCUCGUGUCGUGAGAUGUUGGGUUAAGUCCCGCAACGAGCGCAACCCUUGUUCACUGUUGCCAGCACGUUAUGGUGGGGACUCAGUGGAGACCGCCGGGGUCAACUCGGAGGAAGGUGGGGAUGACGUCAAGUCAUCAUGCCCCUUAUGUCCAGGGCUUCACGCAUGCUACAAUGGCUGGUACAGAGAGUGGCGAGCCUGUGAGGGUGAGCGAAUCUCGGAAAGCCGGUCUCAGUUCGGAUUGGGGUCUGCAACUCGACCUCAUGAAGUCGGAGUCGCUAGUAAUCGCAGAUCAGCAACGCUGCGGUGAAUACGUUCCCGGG